AUAUCCGUUUCCUUUGUUUCAUGUUAAAAGAUUGGAAAACAUCUUCUAUCUAAUUUGCAUGUUGCAUAUAUAUGAGAAAUUAAGAAUGGAUAUUCUUUCUGUUUUAUGUAUUUACUGGUUUUUAUUCUUAACAACUGUUGUUGGAGUUCAAAGUAUCAGAUGCUACGAAUGCAACUCUCAAUUCACAUCUUCCUGUGGAAGGGACUUCAAACUUACAUCGUCGGACACAAAUUAUAUCACGGACCAGUGUAACAGAUGCCUCAAGAAGAUAACACGAACUCAAACUAAUAUAACAGUGUAUUCAAGAGAAUGUUCUGGAGCUACUGUCGAUAAUUGUAAUACAAUAUCAACACAAGAGGAACAAUGCUUCUGUGAUACAGAUCUUUGUAACAAAUCGUCUUCCAUGACUGUUACUUUAGCAACAGUUAUUAUUAAAACCAUGUUAUUUUUUAUUUUAAAAUAAAAUAAAACUUUAGAUCAGAGACAUAUAUCUUUGAUAACUAUAUAUAUUAUAUGAUUGUAUAUGUAUCAUUCUAUCAUGUUUAAACAGCUUUGGUAUUGAAAUAUUAUAAUGUCAUUUUGUGAUGUUAUAAUUUCAUUAUUUUUAUUAGUAAACAACGACAUGGUACUUUAUAGUGAUGUUUCAUGUCCCAAUGCAACACAGUAUCCAAGACUACACAUGCUCUCCAUGACAAUUUAACAAUGGGAAGGAAUUAUAAGAUAAAGCACACGAAAAUUUCCAUUUACCUCGUCAUUUCCUGGUUUUAGUACCAAAAUGUAAUUAUAAGGAUUGCAUGGUUCUUUUUUUUUUGUAUGAUAAUUUAUCAUACACACAUUUUAAGUGAAUAGUGUGGAAGCUUUGUUCAAUAGUGCUGUUGUGGUGGACCAUGUCCAGUUAUUGCAAGUCACUUUUAUUUUUAUGCUCAUUAAUGUUAUAUAAAUAUGGCUUUCCUAACUUUUUGUCACAAGCAUACCCACUGACAGUUAUUCAGCUAAAUGUGAUUUGUACAGAUAAUCUUAUUAUUUUUGUUUUUUCUUUUACAUAUUAUAGGAAGAACAGGGUAUAAUGACUAUACUAAGGAGGUAGACAGCUAGAUUUCCUUGAAUCCAUUUCACUCACUGGGUCAAAAUCCAAAAGUUUUUAAAACCUAAUUGAAUUUGACUAUUAAAAUAAAAAUUAUUAAACGCUUUUAAAAUUUUACAACAAUUGUAUAACGCAUAUCCACAAAAUCAAAAUAUUAUUUAGUACUUUACAUUCUUAUUGAAGAAUUCAGAUACAAUGUUGUAAAUUCCAACGACUUUUGUAAAAUUUUGCACUUUUAACUGACAUGAAUACUUUGUACCUGAAAAACAAAACACAGCUUCACUCCCUAUAGAAUUUCAUUAUUUGUCAAAAUUGCAUUUUUUUAGGCAUUUAAAAUUGGAUACAGAACCACCAAAACACCACAAUGUUGUUAGAACAUCACAGUGCAAACAUGAAGCUAUCACGAUGCACAUUUUAGUAAAGACUUUUUGAAAAUGGUUUUUGCAUGAAAUAAAUGAAGGGAAAGUUGA
Mytilus californianus (California mussel) is the source of this 1554-nucleotide long non-coding RNA. RefSeq lists it as uncharacterized. The record is from RefSeq and is a predicted model, not a curated record. The transcript has 3 exons. NCBI's taxonomy places the organism in Eukaryota, Metazoa, Mollusca, Bivalvia, Mytilida, Mytilidae.